This 288-nucleotide ribosomal RNA is filed under the name Bacillus licheniformis. RNAcentral's name for it is "partial 16S ribosomal RNA". It matches the Rfam family "Bacterial small subunit ribosomal RNA", at positions 194 to 478 of the family's 1533-position model. Lineage: Bacteria; Bacillati; Bacillota; Bacilli; Caryophanales; Bacillaceae. The record is from RNAcentral.
UCAAUCAUAAAAGGUGGCUUUUAGCUACCACUURCAGAUGGACCCGCGGCGCAUUAGCUAGUUGGUGAGGCGGCGGCUCACCAAGGAACCCGUGGGUAGCCUGCCUGUGAGGGUGGUCGGCCACACUGGGACUGGGACACGGCCCAGACUCCUACGGGAGGCAGCAGUAGGGAAUCUUCCGCAAUGGACGAAAGUCUGACGGAGCAACGCCGCGUGAGUGAUGAAGGUUUUCGGAUCGUAAAACUCUGUUGUUAGGGAAGAACAAGUACCGUUCGAAUAGGGCGGYAC